AUACUUACCUGGCAGGAGAGAUACCAUGAUCACGAAGGUGGUUUUCCCAGGGCGAGGCUUCUCCAUUGCACUCCGGGUGUGCUGACCCCUGCGAUUUCCCCAAAUGUGGGAAACUCGACUGCAUAAUUUGUGGUAGUGGGGGACCGCGUUCGCGCUUUCCCCUA
This is a small nuclear RNA of Rhinopithecus bieti (black snub-nosed monkey), 164 nucleotides long. Its record names the gene U1. It matches the Rfam family "U1 spliceosomal RNA". From Rfam's summary of the family: U1 is a small nuclear RNA (snRNA) component of the spliceosome (involved in pre-mRNA splicing). Its 5' end forms complementary base pairs with the 5' splice junction, thus defining the 5' donor site of an intron. NCBI's taxonomy places the organism in Eukaryota, Metazoa, Chordata, Mammalia, Primates, Cercopithecidae. The record is from Ensembl.